Molecule: ribosomal RNA, 474 nt
Filed under: Streptococcus mitis
Lineage: Bacteria; Bacillati; Bacillota; Bacilli; Lactobacillales; Streptococcaceae
Description: bacterial SSU rRNA
Rfam family: Bacterial small subunit ribosomal RNA
Source: RNAcentral
GACGAACGCUGGCGGCGUGCCUAAUACAUGCAAGUAGAACGCUGAAGGAGGAGCUUGCUUCUCUGGAUGAGUUGCGAACGGGUGAGUAACGCGUAGGUAACCUGCCUGGUAGCGGGGGAUAACUAUUGGAAACGAUAGCUAAUACCGCAUAACAGUAGAUGUUGCAUGACAUUUGCUUAAAAGGUGCAAUUGCAUCACUACCAGAUGGACCUGCGUUGUAUUAGCUAGUUGGUGGGGUAACGGCCCACCAAGGCGACGAUACAUAGCCGACCUGAGAGGGUGAUCGGCCACACUGGGACUGAGACACGGCCCAGACUCCUACGGGAGGCAGCAGUAGGGAAUCUUCGGCAAUGGACGGAAGUCUGACCGAGCAACGCCGCGUGAGUGAAGAAGGUUUUCGGAUCGUAAAGCUCUGUUGUAAGAGAAGAACGAGUGUGAGAGUGGAAAGUUCACACUGUGACGGUAUCUACCAGA